This 107-nucleotide non-coding RNA is filed under the name Mediterraneibacter gnavus. RNAcentral describes it as "Ruminococcus gnavus TPP sequence". It matches the Rfam family "TPP riboswitch aptamer (THI element)". Rfam says of the family: Vitamin B(1) in its active form thiamin pyrophosphate (TPP) is an essential coenzyme that is synthesised by coupling of pyrimidine and thiazole moieties in bacteria. The previously detected thiamin-regulatory element, thi box was extended, resulting in a new, highly conserved RNA secondary structure, the THI element, which is widely distributed in eubacteria and also occurs in some archaea. RNAcentral also lists the same sequence under 1 other name. The record is from RNAcentral. Lineage: Bacteria; Bacillati; Bacillota; Clostridia; Lachnospirales; Lachnospiraceae.
AUUGAUAACAAGGGGAGCUUGUGUGACAGGCUGAGAGGAAGUUGUGAACUUCGACCUAUAACCUGAUUUGGAUAAUGCCAACGUAGGAACUGUAAUCUCGUUUAUAC